UUUUAUUAAUUAUUUUCCAUGAAAACAUGAUUGGAAAUAAUAUAUGAAGUGAUAAUUGAAAUUAUAUAAUAAAUAUUUUAUUAUAUGAUUUGUUCAGAAUAAUUAAGUUAACUAUUUUAACUUGAUUACUGAUGUUGUGUAAGAAAGAGAAGUCAGAUAUGAGAUCCAAACCCUGAAUUGGGAUUGUGAUCAAGAGAUGAGAAUAAUAAUAUUAUAUUAUUGUUAUAAUGAUU
Molecule: long non-coding RNA, 233 nt
Filed under: Panax ginseng (ginseng)
Lineage: Eukaryota; Viridiplantae; Streptophyta; Magnoliopsida; Apiales; Araliaceae
Description: long non-coding RNA (PGIN_LNC005157)
Source: RNAcentral